UACAAUUUAAUGUAUGAUGCAUAAAGAAUUUUGAAUUCUUUAGGUUUGGUUUAAUUCCAAAAUUUGUAG
Molecule: transfer RNA, 69 nt
Filed under: Symplanella brevicephala
Lineage: Eukaryota; Metazoa; Arthropoda; Insecta; Hemiptera; Caliscelidae
Description: tRNA-Gln
Source: RNAcentral